AAGAUGUUCAGUGUCCUGGAGUACAAGGCUUAAUUGAAAUAAAUCAUGAUGAAUAUGGAACUAACAAAAAGGAAGAAAUUUCAGAUAUUGAGGAAAGAAUGGAACUAAAUUCUUCAGUUACUUCACAAGAUGUUUUGAUGACUAGCCCUGAAAAAAAUAUACCAUCACAAAAUAACAUCUCACAAGAAGUUAAUCCUUCUCAAUUGGUACUACUUGAUAAUAAAAGUGUCUCUACUGAAUGCCACCUUCUUGAUUCGGCCUAAACUUCAGUAAUCAGGUGGAGAGGCG
RNAcentral lists this long non-coding RNA (288 nucleotides) under Urocitellus parryii (Arctic ground squirrel). Its description in RNAcentral is "lncRNA (ENSUPAG00010003110.1)". The record is from RNAcentral. Lineage: Eukaryota; Metazoa; Chordata; Mammalia; Rodentia; Sciuridae.